UACGUAGGGUGCGAGCGUUGUCCGGAAUUAUUGGGCGUAAAGGGCGCGUAGGCGGCGUGUUAAGUCAGCUGUGAAAUCUCCAAGCUUAACUUGGAACGGUCAGCUGAUACUGAUGUGCUAGAGUGCAGAAGGGGCAAUCGGAAUUCUUGGUGUAGCGGUGAAAUGCGUAGAUAUCAAGAGGAACACCUGAGGUGAAGACGGGUUGCUGGGCUGACACUGACGCUGAGGCGCGAAAGCUAGGGUAGCAAACGGG
Molecule: ribosomal RNA, 253 nt
Filed under: uncultured bacterium
Lineage: Bacteria
Description: partial 16S ribosomal RNA
Rfam family: Bacterial small subunit ribosomal RNA
Source: RNAcentral